Molecule: unclassified non-coding RNA, 253 nt
Filed under: uncultured Paracoccaceae bacterium
Lineage: Bacteria; Pseudomonadati; Pseudomonadota; Alphaproteobacteria; Rhodobacterales; Paracoccaceae
Description: uncultured Rhodobacteraceae bacterium contains 16S-23S intergenic spacer region
Rfam family: Bacterial small subunit ribosomal RNA
Source: RNAcentral
UACGGAGGGUGCGAGCGUUGUUCGGAAUUACUGGGCGUAAAGCGCGCGUAGGCUGACUAUUAAGUCAGGGGUGAAAUCCCGGGGCUCAACCCCGGAACUGCCCUUGAUACUGGUAGUCUGGAGUUCUGGAGCGGUGAGUGGAAAUCCGAGUGUAGAGGUGAAAUUCGUAGAUACUCGGAGGAACACCAGUGGCGAAGGCGGGUCACUGGCCAGAUACGGACGCUGAGGUGCGAAAGUGUGGGGAGCAAACAGG